Molecule: ribosomal RNA, 410 nt
Filed under: uncultured eukaryote
Lineage: Eukaryota
Description: SSU rRNA
Rfam family: Eukaryotic small subunit ribosomal RNA
Source: RNAcentral
CAAUAGCGUAUAUUAAAGUUGUUGCAGUUAAAAGCUCGUAGUCGGAUUUUGGCAUCAUGCCGAACUGUCAGCCGAUUGGUUUGUACGGUUUGGCGGGUGCUUUCCUUCCGGAGGCUCGUUCCCUUCUUCAUUGAAGGGUUCGAUGGUUCCGGGUCUUUUACUUUGAAAAAUUAAGAGUGUUCAAAGCAGGCCUAUGCUCUGAAUAGGUUAGCAUGGAAUAAUAGAAUAGGACUUUGGUUCUAUUUUGUUGGUUUCUAGGACCGAAGUAAUGAUUAAUAGGGACAGUUGGGGGCGAUUCAUAUUCCAAUGUCAGAGGUGGAAAUUACUUGGUAUUAUCGGAAGAUGAACUUCUGCGAAAGCAUCUGCCAAGGAUGUUUUCUAUUGAUCAAGAACGAAAGUUAGGGGAGUCG